UGUUCCUACGGGGGGCAGCAGUAGGGAAUCUUCCACAAUGGGCGAAAGCCUGAUGGAGCAACGCCGCGUGAGUGAAGAAGGUUUUCGGAUCGUAAAGCUCUGUUGUUGGUGAAGAAGGAUAGAGGUAGUAACUGGCCCCUAUUUGACGGUAAUCAACCAGAAAGUCACGGCUAACUACGUGCCAGCAGCCGCGGUAAUACGUAGGUGGCAAGCGUUGUUCGGAAUAACUGGGCGUAAAGGAUGCGUAGGCGGUUAAACAAGUUAUAUGUUAAAUAUAUAGGCUUAACCUGUAGAAAGCAUAUAAA
Molecule: ribosomal RNA, 305 nt
Filed under: uncultured bacterium
Lineage: Bacteria
Description: bacterial SSU rRNA
Rfam family: Bacterial small subunit ribosomal RNA
Source: RNAcentral